RNAcentral lists this ribosomal RNA (485 nucleotides) under uncultured bacterium. RNAcentral describes it as "partial 16S ribosomal RNA". It matches the Rfam family "Bacterial small subunit ribosomal RNA", at positions 30 to 506 of the family's 1533-position model. The record is from RNAcentral.
AUUGAACGCUGGCGGCAUGCCUUACACAUGCAAGUCGAACGGCAGCACGGGUGCUUGCACCUGGUGGCGAGUGGCGAACGGGUGAGUAAUACAUCGGAACAUGUCCUGUAGUGGGGGAUAGCCCGGCGAAAGCCGGAUUAAUACCGCAUACGAUCUACGGAUGAAAGCGGGGGACCUUCGGGCCUCGCGCUAUAGGGUUGGCCGAUGGCUGAUUAGCUAGUUGGUGGGGUAAAGGCCUACCAAGGCGACGAUCAGUAGCUGGUCUGAGAGGACGACCAGCCACACUGGGACUGAGACACGGCCCAGACUCCUACGGGAGGCAGCAGUGGGGAAUUUUGGACAAUGGGCGAAAGCCUGAUCCAGCAAUGCCGCGUGUGUGAAGAAGGCCUUCGGGUUGUAAAGCACUUUUGUCCGGAAAGAAAUCCUUGGCCCUAAUACGGUCGGGGGAUGACGGUACCGGAAGAAGAAGCACCGGCUAACUACGU